This 250-nucleotide ribosomal RNA is filed under the name uncultured bacterium. RNAcentral describes it as "partial 16S ribosomal RNA". It matches the Rfam family "Bacterial small subunit ribosomal RNA", at positions 71 to 339 of the family's 1533-position model. The record is from RNAcentral.
AAGCUAUCUUCGGGUAGUGGACAGUGGCGGACGGGUGAGUAACGCGUGGGCACCUACCUUUUGGUACGGAACAACAGUUGGAAACGACUGCUAAUACCGUAUAUUCCCUACGGGGGAAAGAUUUAUCGCCAAAAGAUGGGCCCGCGUUAGAUUAGCUAGUUGGUGAGGUAAUGGCCCACCAAGGCGACGAUCUAUAGCUGGUUUGAGAGGAUGAUCAGCCACACUGGGACUGAGACACGGCCCAGACUCC